Molecule: small RNA, 571 nt
Filed under: Pan troglodytes (chimpanzee)
Lineage: Eukaryota; Metazoa; Chordata; Mammalia; Primates; Hominidae
Description: processed transcript
Source: RNAcentral
GGGUAGAGGCUCGUAGAUGGACCUGGUAGUCAGCUGGAGAGCAGCAUGGAGGCGUCCUGGGGGAGCUUCAACGCUGAGCGGGGCUGGUAUGUCUCUGUCCAGCAGCCUGAAGAAGCGGAGGCCGAAGAGUUGAGUCCGUUGCUAAGCAACGAACUUCACAGACAGCGAUCCCCAGGUGUUUCAUUUGGUUUAUCAGUGUUUAAUUUGAUGAAUGCCAUCAUGGGAAGUGGCAUCCUUGGCUUAGCUUAUGUUAUGGCUAAUACCGGUGUCUUUGGAUUUAGCUUCUUGCUGCUGACAGUUGCUCUCCUGGCUUCUUACUCAGUCCAUCUUCUGCUUAGUAUGUGUAUUCAGACAGAUUUUUGGAAGGAAAGCUUUCUUAAGAAAGAACGGAAAAGAGAGAAGAACCAAAUAGAUGCAAUAAAAAAUGAUAAAGGGGAUAUCACCACCGAUCCCACAGAAAUACAAACUACCAUCAGAGAAUACUACAAACACCUCUACACAAAUAAACUAGAAAAUCUAGAAGAAAUGGAUAAAUUCCUCGACACAUACACCCUCCCAACACUAAACCAGG